This 72-nucleotide transfer RNA is filed under the name Zeus faber (John dory). RNAcentral's name for it is "tRNA-Thr". It matches the Rfam family "tRNA". Rfam says of the family: Transfer RNA (tRNA) molecules are approximately 80 nucleotides in length. Lineage: Eukaryota; Metazoa; Chordata; Actinopteri; Zeiformes; Zeidae. The record is from RNAcentral.
GCCCUAGUAGCUCAGAGUAAGAGCGUCGGCCUUGUAAGCCGAAUGUCGGAGGUUAGAUUCUUCCCUAGUGCU